Molecule: long non-coding RNA, 247 nt
Organism: Amphimedon queenslandica
Lineage: Eukaryota; Metazoa; Porifera; Demospongiae; Haplosclerida; Niphatidae
Exons: 3
Source: RefSeq, a predicted model, not a curated record
CUAAAACACACAAACUUGGAAUGUUUUAUUUUACUCUUGGUAAUAUUCAUCCUUACUACCGGUCCACUGUUCGGCAUAUAUAUCUACUAAGCAUUGCUUAUACUUUAGACAUUGAAAAGUAUGGAAUUGAUGAAAUAUUGAAACCUUUUAUGAAUGAGAUAAAGGAAUUUGAAGAGGACUGUGGUUGUGAAAUUUCUGUUAACGGUUUUUCGCAAUACCUACGAGGCAGUCUUUCUGUUUGUUGUGC